Molecule: ribosomal RNA, 253 nt
Filed under: uncultured bacterium
Lineage: Bacteria
Description: partial 16S ribosomal RNA
Rfam family: Bacterial small subunit ribosomal RNA
Source: RNAcentral
UACGUAGGGUGCGAGCGUUGUCCGGAAUUAUUGGGCGUAAAGGGCUCGUAGGCGGUUUGUCGCGUCGGGAGUGAAAACCCAGGGCUUAACCCUGGGCUGGCUUCCGAUACGGGCAGACUAGAGGUAUGCAGGGGAGAACGGAAUUCCUGGUGUAACGGUGAAAUGCGCAGAUAUCAGGAGGAACACCGGUGGCGAAGGCGGUUCUCUGGGCAUUACCUGACGCUGAGGAGCGAAAGUGUGGGGAGCGAACAGG